UACGAGUGCCCUAAGCGUUAUCCGGAAUUACUGGGCGUAAAGCGCACGUAGGCGGCUUGGUAUGUCGGGUGUGAAAUCCCCGGGCUCAACCUGGGAACUGCAUCCGAAACUGCCUUGCUCGAGUAUGGGAGAGGGAAGUGGAAUUUCCGGUGUAGCGGUGAAAUGCGUAGAUAUCGGAAGGAACAUCAGUGGCGAAGGCGACUUCCUGGACCAAUACUGACGCUCAGGUGCGAAAGCGUGGGGAGCAAACAGG
RNAcentral lists this ribosomal RNA (253 nucleotides) under uncultured bacterium. Its description in RNAcentral is "partial 16S ribosomal RNA". It matches the Rfam family "Bacterial small subunit ribosomal RNA", at positions 524 to 776 of the family's 1533-position model. The record is from RNAcentral.